CAGCUCGCAGGCAGCCCAAAAGGUCAGUCUCACUCCCACUAUGUCUCCCCUCAACAGCACCGAGUUUGUUUCCAGGCAGCUGGUGAGCAGAGCUGACACCUUUCCUCAGGCUAUAAGCCUCCCCACUGACAAUGCAAGGAGGGCUUUCAGGUUUAUGCCUCCCCACCUGCCGCGGUUUCCUCCCCAAGGACCCCUGCAAGAAAAAGUCAGGAAUGGAUUCCUGGAACAAAGAAUGUCCACAGGGCUCUUGAUGCUGCUGCCUCUACCCCUAUAUUUUAUAUAGUUCUGGAAGUACUCACUGCAGAGACAAAUGGAAAUGAGUCCACUCUAGGAAGAAGAAUAACUGGAAGCUUGAGCUGUGUAAAUGUGACUUGGAAAUGUGACUUCAGGAGAAAGAACCAGGUAGAAAACCCUGAUGGUGAAAGCAAGUUUUAACUGAAAUGAGAAGAAACUGAAAGUUACAUUACCAUGGCUUUUAUGAGUCAAAGAAGAGACAUUAUGGAAUCUCUGGGAACGGCAAUCCAUCAUCAAAUUCAGUUUUAGUUUUCAUACAUUUUCUGCAACAAGAAGAGAUGGCAGUGUUUUGAAAUGGGAAGAUUAAAAUUUUGAAAAUCUUGGAAACAGAAAUCAUCUAUUUUAUAGAAACUACUUUUUUUCUGGGUAGAGUCAUGCUACAGGCACCCUUCCAGGGAGAUACACUUCUUGCCACCCCCAAGAAUAUUAUUAUGAGAGUAUAUAAAUCAACAGACAGCAACAGCUCAGCAAACCUAGAGGUAACCAAGGACAUUCUACAAUUACUGAGACUCACCUCAUCUCACUUUAAUAAAGCCCACAGGAAAAA
Molecule: long non-coding RNA, 841 nt
Filed under: Homo sapiens (human)
Lineage: Eukaryota; Metazoa; Chordata; Mammalia; Primates; Hominidae
Description: HSALNT0335167
Source: RNAcentral